RNAcentral lists this ribosomal RNA (374 nucleotides) under uncultured bacterium. Its description in RNAcentral is "bacterial SSU rRNA". It matches the Rfam family "Bacterial small subunit ribosomal RNA", at positions 524 to 898 of the family's 1533-position model. The record is from RNAcentral.
UACGGAGGGUGCAAGCGUUAAUCGGAAUUACUGGGCGUAAAGCGCACGCAGGCGGUCUGUCAAGUCGGAUGUGAAAUCCCCGGGCUCAACCUGGGAACUGCAUCCGAAACUGGCAGGCUAGAGUCUUGUAGAGGGGGGUAGAAUUCCAGGUGUAGCGGUGAAAUGCGUAGAGAUCUGGAGGAAGACCGGUGGCGAAGGCGGCCCCCUGGACAAAGACUGACGCUCAGGUGCGAAAGCGUGGGGAGCAAACAGGAUUAGCUACCCUGGUCGUCCACGCCGAAACGAUGUCGACUUGGAGGUUGUGCCCUUGAGGCGUGGCUUACGGAGCUAACGCGUUAAGUCGACCGCCUGGGGAGUACGGCCGCAAGGUUAAA